GGUAUGGAAGUAACCCAGGUCCACAUCUCAACUUCAGCCUUCCAUUGCUGAUAUGGUUCAGAUGAAGAAAAAAUUGAACACAAAAAAAGGGUAUGGCCUGUAAGCCAUAUGAGGAGGCGGUGGCAUAGUGGUAUUAGUGGACAAGCAAUCCAGAGACCCAGGGUAAUGCUCUGGGGACCAGGGUCGAAUCCCACCACAAGAGAUGGUGAGAUGUGAAUUCAAUUUAAAAAUCUGAAAUUAAAAAUCUAAUGAUGACCAUGAAA
Molecule: long non-coding RNA, 263 nt
Organism: Carcharodon carcharias (great white shark)
Lineage: Eukaryota; Metazoa; Chordata; Chondrichthyes; Lamniformes; Lamnidae
Exons: 2
Source: RefSeq, a predicted model, not a curated record